UUAUGGCUCAGGAUGAACGCUAGCUACAGGCUUAACACAUGCAAGUCGAGGGGCAGCAUGAUCGAAGCUUGCUUUGAUUGAUGGCGACCGGCGCACGGGUGAGUAACGCGUAUCCAACCUUCCCUAUAGUAGAGAAUAGCCCGGCGAAAGUCGGAUUAAUGCUCUAUGUUGUAUUUAGAGGACAUCUGAAGAAUACCAAAGGUUUUACCGCUAUAGGAUGGGGGGUGCGUCUGAUUAGGUAGUAGGCGGGGUAACGGCCCACCUAGCCGACGAUCAGUAGGGGUUCUGAGAGGAAGGUCCCCCACAUUGGAACUGAGACACGGUCCAAACUCCUACGGGAGGCAGCAGUGAGGAAUAUUGGUCAAUGGACGGAAGUCUGAACCAGCCAAGUAAGCGUGCAGGAUGACGGCCCUAUGGGUUGUAAACUGCUUUUAUAUAGGGAUAAAGUCGGGGACGUGUCCCCGUUUGUAGGUACUAUAUGAAUAAGGACCGGCUAAUUCCGUGCCAGCAGCCGC
RNAcentral lists this ribosomal RNA (515 nucleotides) under uncultured bacterium. Its description in RNAcentral is "bacterial SSU rRNA". It matches the Rfam family "Bacterial small subunit ribosomal RNA", at positions 17 to 518 of the family's 1533-position model. The record is from RNAcentral.